ACCCUUUGUGAACAUACCUAUAACUGUUGCUUCGGCGGGUAGGGUCUCCGCGACCCUCCCGGCCUCCCGCCUCCGGGCGGGUCGGCGCCCGCCGGAGGAUAACCAAACUCUGAUUUAACGACGUUUCUUCUGAGUGGUACAAGCAAAUAAUCAAAACUUUUAACAACGGAUCUCUUGGUUCUGGCAUCGAUGAAGAACGCAGCGAAAUGCGAUAAGUAAUGUGAAUUGCAGAAUUCAGUGAAUCAUCGAAUCUUUGAACGCACAUUGCGCCCGCCAGCAUUCUGGCGGGCAUGCCUGUUCGAGCGUCAUUUCAACCCUCAAGCUCUGCUUGGUGUUGGGGCCCUACAGCUGAUGUAGGCCCUCAAAGGUAGUGGCGGACCCUCUCGGAGCCUCCUUUGCGUAGUAACUUUACGUCUCGCACUGGGAUCCGGAGGGACUCUUGCCGUAAAACCCCCAAUUUCCAAAGGUGACCUCGGAUCAGGUAGGAAUACCCGCUGAACUUA
Molecule: ribosomal RNA, 503 nt
Filed under: Colletotrichum gloeosporioides
Lineage: Eukaryota; Fungi; Ascomycota; Sordariomycetes; Glomerellales; Glomerellaceae
Description: eukaryotic LSU rRNA
Rfam family: 5.8S ribosomal RNA (bases 155-308)
Source: RNAcentral